GCUCUCUCUCAAGUCGAAGAUCUACAAUGCCCUAACUCUCUCUCUCUCUCAUGGCACCUCAGGGGGCAGACGAUUCUCUCUCACCAGUGAUGGCGAAGGGAUCGUAUCUAGGGUUUCGACCACCGUCUCGCGGUCGCUGAUUGUACACCACAGCAAACGAGUGACGUCGGACGCAGCCUACGUGACCGUAAAAUAGCGCCGUAAAAUAGAAAUUAUUUCCGGCAAUUACAAACAUUGUGCCUUAAUAAUUUAAUUAUUUUUAUUUUAUUUAUUAUUAUUUUUCCCUAAUAUAGCACAUUUGGGUUAGGUUUCAUAUCGUCAUUCCUUUCUUUUCUCUUAUCCACGACAUCAGGGCUUGGUGGUGUAACUCAGGGAAGAGCACGGCGGCUGUGGUCGAUUGGUGUUGCGGGUGGUGCGCUAGUGGUCGAUUGGUGAUGUAUCGGAGGUUUGGACAGUGGUGGUUGAAGGGUUGGGCUCCUGUAAGUUGUAAGUACUUUAAACCCUAAUUUCCCCUUCUUGUUCUUGAGAUGAAAAUUGGCACCAAAUCUUGCCCUUUUAUAAUUUCAAUAUUAUCUAGAUAUACUGUUGGAAACCUUUUGUGCUUCUCUUUGACAUCAGCUUAAAAGUUUAUUUUUGUUUACAGUUCUCUCUAAUUUCAUAUCUCAACCAUCUCUGUUAUAACUGGCCUUUGCCUUUUGGUGAAUAGCGAAUAUAAUGUAGUUGGAUUAGGCUUUUGUUGGAUUGAGUUGACCUGGCUUCAGAGCUGAUAUUAUAGCAAUUUCACUUCUCUAGGAAUCUCCAUUUGAUCAUUAAUGCUGUUCACCCAAGUGAUCGUCAAUUUGGUUUAGUGUUUUGUCUCUGGUGCUCUUCAAUAUGUUGUAUUUUAAGCUAAAAUUGUCAGUGGGGUGCCGUUCACCCAAGUGGACAUCAACUUGAUUUAGUGUUUUGUCUCUGGUGAUCCUGUUCUUGUUAAAAAUAUUUUAAACUUAGGUGCCUUGUUCUGGGCAAUGGAGAUCUAAUAAUAAAAAUGGUUAUGGAAGAGUCAAGUCAUUAGAGAAACUUAUUUGCUUUUGUUAAAAUAAUUGUUAGCACCAUAAUUGAGAAGAUCUAUUACCAAUCAAUAGAAAUUGUCCAUGAUACUGGAACAAUCAUAGCUCUGUAGUUGCAUACUGUAGUAUAAAAUAACUUCUAUAUAAAAAUUUAUAUAUUUUAUGGUUAUGUCCUCUAGUGUCUACAUGUUUUUUUUUUUUUUUUUUGUCUGUGUCUGUGUCCAUGUCCUCUGUCAAUGUCCAUGCAUUUUAGCAAACCAAUCUUGAGAAGCUCCUUUUACUUUUAAGGGCAGCUCUAGUUUCUUCCAACCUGAAACACAAUCUUCUGGAUGUACAAGAACUGAAAAUUUUAGAACAACUCUAGCAUUGUUGAUUUCUUAUAUCUACUAAAAGGGGUCGAGGGCAACAGCAGAAUUAAACUUUCUGAAGUUACAUAAUAAGACAAGUGUUCAUUUUUAAAAGUUAGAGCAUGUGUUUUGUUGUAAUAAUAUCAAUUUCAAAAAAAUCAUCAAUAGUAGGUGCAGUCACUUGGUGAAGCCCCAAGAUGCAAAGCCGAGGACGUGAGUUCUCUAUUUCAGCAACUUUGAUUGAUAGAGACCACACCAGGCAUUAGCCUUUUACUUACUCAUAGACUCAGUGCUGACAGAGUUCUACAUAGAGAGAAUUAUCAGGAUGGACAAAUACUCUCUCACACACUGCCAUUUCAACAUACUUCCUAAGGGAUUCAUUAUAGAAGAAUGGAUGGUAAGUCCAAUAUAAGGUGAAUGAUACACAAAUUCCAAAUAGGAUGACACCUGCACAUGUUUGAGCCUAUUGGAUGGACCAUAAGCAUGGUAAACAUCCCACCAUAUUCAUGUACUCUCAACCCCAAAAUGAAAACAAUUGAUUUUACAAAUACAAUUGAUAUAUUCCCUGAGAAAGUUCCAGCUAGUUGAAUGUAUUGGGUGGCAUAUGGUGAAAGGUAUUGAGAAAAGGAGGGAAACAGAGAGUUUCCAUCUUGGUAUAAAUUUGCCAGCAUGAUGACUUAACAGUUCAACUAGAUAACAUAAUUCCUUAUUUACCCAAAAAAAAAAAAAAAAAAAAAAAAAAAAAAAAAAAUUAGCAUAAUUCCUUUGCUACAUCUGAAAGUUAUUGCAAAUUACCAUACCUGCUAAUGGCGCGAUCUUUUACAAAUCCUAAUUCAUUGUCCACACAAGGUCAACAUCAUCAUUUUUCCUUAAUCUAGAAGAGGUUGUAAGAGCCAUUUGUUGGGCGUCAGAGAUUUAGAUGAGGUUAGGGAGCUUUAUAGACAGUCACAGGGAUGUUAAAGAUAACGAGGGACUUUAGACAUAGUUUCAGAUUUUCGUUGCAAGAAGUUUAAUUAAAAAUUUUCCUUGAUCUAGAAGAGGUUGUAGGAGCCAUUUGGGAUUGCAAGAAGUUUAAUUAAAAUUUUGUAUUUUUUUUUUCAAUUUGCCGAACAUAGUAGAAUUGUUUUAUCUCUUGACUUAUAAUGUACAUCCAUUCAUGCAUUUUUUAUUUUUUAAUAUCUUGGACUAUGAAAUGCUUGACUUUUGUUGGCUCAAAUAGAUGCUGAAAGUUGUAAUUAUUAGGGUUCAACAAAGUAAUGUAAUUAUUGGUUUUCCUAACAUCAUAUAAUUGUCAAAUUACUUUGACCCUGAAUAAAUUUUUAUUUUUAUUUUUAUUUUUAUAUUUUUUUUAUUAUUAUUAUUUUUUUAUAAGUUUUGAACUUGAAUAAAUCUUGUGGAACAUGUUCCAGUUUAUUAUUCGAAAAUACAUGUUCAUUUUUUAUAUUAAUUGCUUGGUACCUAUCAUACAUGAUAAUGCAACUUUGUGUAGAUAAUGCCAAGGUUAGGUGUAAUGGGCUGGCCACUUGCCAUCCGAUCCAAAAGAUAUAAAAAUAAAAAAGAUAUAAAAACCUAUAUCAUGCAAAAUUGUAGCCAUUAGAAAAAAAAUCUGAUUUCAGAGUUGAAAUUCAUUCUCCUACUUUUACAGUAGUAGUAGAAAUCAUAUUUGCAUUGUCACUUUAGUUUUGGUAGUGGUACUUUGUAAGAUUAUGAGUCUUGUUGCUGAUUAUCAUGUUGCUACUGUAGUACUAUGACUUGUAUGUGCUGAUUUAAAACCACUACUAGGACUUUUGAGUGUACUGAUAGUGAAGCCGACUACACUAGCAGCAUAGAAAAAAUAUGGUAGCAUUAGUAAAAGGAAAAACUUGUAGCCAAAUCAUAUUAUCGUACAUUAUGCAAACAUCAGCGUGAAAGAGAAAUGUGAGGGUUUCUGAAGGUUUAUAGAGAUGUGAGGGAGAGACGGGAUAAAAAUGGGGAGUAGAGAAGUAAAGGAUUGUUAAGGCUUAGGACCUUUGGGUGUGAGCAGGGAAGUGGGAUUGCUAUAGAGUUUCUAUGCUACAAUGCUAUUAAGCAGGGAACUAAGCUUUGCUUCAGGGCUCAAAGUUUUGCCAUUCAUCCGCAGCCGUUGUGUACUACUCGUCAAAAUAUAUUACUUCCACCAGAAGGGAUAAAUGCGGCAGCCAAUCUCUUUGCAGAGGGAAAUUAGUGGGAAUUAUCUGGAGUAUGUGAAGUGGAAAUUCUUCCAUAGAGUCUUCAGUUCUGCACUUCAAGUUCUUGCUACUCAGGUAAUAUUUUGUUCAUGAUUGAGAUUAAAUUUCAGUGCUGUAAGUGUGUGUGUUUGUGGGGUACUCAUUUUUGAGUUAAAUAACAGUUUUGGUGUUUUUGAUGGCUUAACAAUUUGUGAAAGGUUAAUGAUUAUGUGUAAUUUGAAGAUACUUUUCCACAAAUGUUUGAUAGUAUGGACUUUAUGUGAACAUCACUUCUCUGUUCUUUUGAUGAAUUGUUGAUUCUGUAGGUAUAUUGCCAAAGGGCAAGCAUUGUCAUUCUCAUGCCAAAAUAAUUAUUUCAAUUGGAAAGCUGAUUGUAUAAUUGUUCAUCACAUGUAAUUGCACUGUACAUAUGUGGCUAUCAGGCAUUGUUUCAAGCAAUUGGAAUUGGGUACUCCCGUUCACUUCCAUCAGCUGCUGCCCUGAAUUGGGUCUUGAAGGAUGGACUCGGACGGCUAAGUAGGUGCAUCUAUACUGCCAGCCUAGCGUCUGCUUUUGAUACCAAUUUAAAGGUAUGGCUUCUAUUCCCACAAAAAUCUGGGCCGCAUAUUAUGGUAUUACUGUUUACUUGCUCAUGUUGCAAUUGGCAAUCACUAGCAACUCGUUGUUCUGUUUGGACGAUAAUCUUGUUAUGUCAGAAAAUAUUUGAAAGAACCCAUGUGAAUGGUGAAAAUGAUAACUGCAGAAGAAUUGAAUGGAAAGACAUGGCAGAGUAUGUGCCCUAGAAUGUGAUGUCUAAAGCUUUUUUAACUAAUCACUAUCUGUUAUCUCCUUUAAAGAGAGUUAGGUUCUGGACAUUCGUGCUGUUCAGUUUGAGCAUUGGAGUUGAGUUGCUGACUCCGGCGUUUCCCCAAUACUUCUUGCUUCUUGCAUCUGUAGCCAACAUUGCUAAACGAGCCUUUCAUGCUAUCUGGCAACUGGUGUAAGUUUUAAUGCCUCAACUAUCUCUUGAACUUUUUUCCGUAACAUGUGGGAUCUUGGUUCCAAAUUGUUUUCUAGAAAUUGGAUUAUUCAUUAGGCAUGACAUAAACUAGGUAGUACUUUAUAUCUUAAAAUUAAUGUAAGAUGAUGCUUCUCUGUAUUCUUCAUUGCAUUGAAUUGCAUUUUCUUGUGAUGGCAAAAUGUUUAAAUACUAAAAGAAGGCAACUACUUGGUGCUAAGAUCCACCUAUGUUAUUGUUGCGACUGAGAGAGUGAUUGGUGGCAGAUCAAACCUUUGUCAUUAUUUUUUUUUAUAUGAAGUGGCUAUUCUCAAACAAAAGCCUGUGUACUUGUGUUAGUUAGCCUGAGCUUUUAUCAUCUACCAAGUAGUUCCCUAUAUGAAAAUUGGCAGUAGCGCUUCUCAUCUAAAAGCCCAUGUGCACUAGAACAACAUUUAGCAUCUGCUGCUUAAUUUUGUCAAAUAUAGAUUGAAUCUUAAAAUGUAGUUUGGACAGGCAUGGAUGGUGGAUGUAUCUUAGUAUAUGGUCAUUUGCCAACCCUGCUAAUGAUAACUAAAGGAAUUUUUUUUUUUCCUAUAUAAUUUUUGGUUUCCACUUGUUUAUGUGAAUGUAUUUACCAUAUUUACCCUCACAAAUUUUCAUUCUGAAUGACCUGAGGUUCAGUAAAAAUUUUGUAUUGUUGAUGAAUAAUAAAAUUGGCUUAGGAAAAAAAAAUAUAAUUCUCUUUUAUUUAAUCAUGUGUAUAACAUAAAGAUAUCACAUUUAGCCUUUCUUAUUUCUUAUUUUUCACUAUUUUUUUUGCUCACUUUCCUAAUUUCUCUCACUUCUCUUGGAUUCAAACAUAUGGGAGAUGCAUGGAAGAAGCUACUUGGAACGGCUGGAGCAAUGAUGCCUGACUAUGAGGAUGUUGAAACCAUUUGAUGUUAAAGCUACAAGCGAAUAUUUUGUAGUUUUUGUUUAAAAAAUUGGAGAUUUUAUAGUUUCAUUAUGAAAUUAAGAGCUUGAAGUUUUUAUAGAUUUUAUAA
Cornus florida is the source of this 5625-nucleotide RNA transcript. It is a transcript of the gene named protein root UVB sensitive 4-like, with no coding region annotated. The record is from RefSeq and is a predicted model, not a curated record. The transcript has 2 exons. Lineage: Eukaryota; Viridiplantae; Streptophyta; Magnoliopsida; Cornales; Cornaceae.